GACAAACGCUGGCGGGGUGCGUGAGACAUGCAAGUCGAACGAGGAACCUCCGAGCUUGCUUGGAGGUUUCCUAGUGGCGGACGGCUGAGUAACGCGUAGGUGACCUACCCGGAAGUGGGAAUAACUGCCCGAAAGGGUGGCUAAUACCGCAUGUGAUCGGCGAUUCGAUUCACCGAUUAAAGGAGCAAUUCGCUUCCGGAGGGCCUGCGUUCGAUUAGCUAGUUGGUGGGGUAACGGCUCACCAAGGCGACGAUCGAUAGCUGGUCUGAGAGGAUGAUCAGCCAGACUGGGACUGAGAACGGCCCAGGACCCCUACGGGAGGCAGCGAGUCGGGAAUUUUGCCCAAUGGACGAAAGUCUGAGGCAGCAACUCCGCGUGAGGGACGAAGGCUCUAGGGUCGUAAACCUCUUUUCU
RNAcentral lists this ribosomal RNA (414 nucleotides) under uncultured bacterium. RNAcentral describes it as "bacterial SSU rRNA". It matches the Rfam family "Bacterial small subunit ribosomal RNA", at positions 28 to 439 of the family's 1533-position model. The record is from RNAcentral.